AUGGUGUGGCCAGCUCUGUGGGAACUAUACAGGGAGCUGGGCCUAUUUCAGGGCCCAGCACUGGGGCUGAGGAACCAUUUGGGAAGAAAACUAAGAAGGAGAAAAAAGAAAAAGGCAAAGAGAACAACAAACUGGAAGCAGCAGCCCCUUGCUGAUCCAUACCAACCCCAGAAUAUCUCCAGUCCCUGCAAAACCAGAUCAUCACCGACCGACCUGGCUUUCAUGAUGAGAGUGCCAUCUACCCCGUGGGCUACUGCAGUACUCGAAUAUAUGCCAGCAUGAAGUGCCCAGACCAGAAGUGUCUAUAUACCUGUCAGAUCAAGGAUGGUGGUGUGCAGCCUCAGUUUGAAAUUGUUCCUGAAGAUGACCCCCAGAAUGCCAUUGUCAGCUCUUCUGCAGAUGCUUGUCAUGCAGAACUGCUCAGGACUAUAAGCGCUACUAUGGGGAAACUAAUGCCUAACCUGCUUCCAGCUGGAGCUGACUUUUUUGGAUUUUCUCAUCCAGCCAUCCACAACCUGAUCCAGAGCUGUCCAGGAGCUCGAAAAUGCAUCAAUUACCAGUGGGUGAAAUUUGAUGUGUGCAAACCUGGAGAUGGGCAGCUACCUGAGGGGCUGCCAGAGAAUGAUGCAGCUAUGAGCUUUGAAGCCUUUCAGAGACAGAUCUUUGAUGAAGAUCAGAAUGAUCCCCUUCUGCCAGGAUCCUUGGACCUCCCAGAGCUUCAGCCUGCAGCCUUUGUGUCUUCUUACCAGCCCAUGUACCUGACACAUGAACCCUUGGUAGAUACUCACCUACAGCACUUGAAGUCUCCAUCACAGGGUAGCCCAGUCCAGUCUUCAGAUUGA
RNAcentral lists this small RNA (842 nucleotides) under Pongo abelii (Sumatran orangutan). RNAcentral describes it as "processed transcript". Lineage: Eukaryota; Metazoa; Chordata; Mammalia; Primates; Hominidae. The record is from RNAcentral.